AGGGUUUGAUCAUGGCUCAGAGCGAACGCUGGCGGCGUGCCUAACACAUGCAAGUCGAACGAGAAAGCCUUCGGGCAAGUAGAGUGGCGGACGGGUGAGUAACACGUGAGCAACCUGUCUCCGGAUCUGGAAUAACCUUCCGAAAGGGGGGCUAAUACCGGAUAUGACCACAGAGUCUAAUGAUUCAGCGGUAAAAGGUGGCCUCUCCAUGGAAGCUACCGUCUGGAGAUGGGCUCGCGGCCCAUUAGCUUGUUGGUGAGGUAACGGCUCACCAAGGCAACGAUGGGUAGCCGGCCUGAGAGGGUGAACGGCCACACUGGGACUGAGAUACGGCCCAGACUCCUACGGGAGGCAGCAGUGGGGAAUUUUGCGCAAUGGGGGAAACCCUGACGCAGCGACGCCGCGUGAAGGAUGAAGGCCCUAGGGUCGUAAACUUCUGUUAGGAGGGACGAAUUGCAGGGUUGCUAAUACCUUCCCUGUUUGACGGUACCUCCAAAGAAAGCACCGGCUAACUCCGUGCCAGCAGCCGCGGUAAGACGGAGGGUGCAAGCGUUGCUCGGAAUCACUGGGCGUAAAGGGCGUGUAGGCGGGAUAGUAAGUCGGAUGUGAAAGCCCUGGGCUCAACCCAGGAAGUGCAUUCGAAACUACUAUUCUUGAGUAUGGCAGAGGAGAGUGGAAUUCCCGGUGUAGCGGUGAAAUG
RNAcentral lists this ribosomal RNA (700 nucleotides) under uncultured bacterium. RNAcentral describes it as "bacterial SSU rRNA". It matches the Rfam family "Bacterial small subunit ribosomal RNA", at positions 8 to 688 of the family's 1533-position model. The record is from RNAcentral.